AUUGAACGCUGGCGGAAUGCUUUACACAUGCAAGUCGAACGGCAGCACGGACUUCGGUCUGGUGGCGAGUGGCGAACGGGUGAGUAUGUAUCGGAACGUGCCCAGUCGUGGGGGAUAACGUAGUGAAAAUUACGCUAAUACCGCAUACGAUCUAUGGAUGAAAGCGGGGGAUCGCAAGACCUCGCGCGAUUGGAGCGGCCGAUAUCAGAUUAGGUAGUUGGUGGGGUAAAGGCCCACCAAGCCAACGAUCUGUAGCUGGUCUGAGAGGACGACCAGCCACACGGGAGACGAGACACGGUCCAGACUCCUAAGGGAGGCAGCAGUGGGGAAUUUUGGACCAUGGGGGAAAGACUGAUCCAGCCAUUCCGCGUGCAGGGUUGAGGCCCUCGGGUUUUAAACUGCUUUUGUACAGAACGAAAAGGUUUCUACUAAUACUAGGAGCUCAUGACGGUACUGUAAGAAUAAGCACCGGCUAACUACGUGCCAGCCGCCGCCGUAA
RNAcentral lists this ribosomal RNA (499 nucleotides) under uncultured bacterium. Its description in RNAcentral is "partial 16S ribosomal RNA". It matches the Rfam family "Bacterial small subunit ribosomal RNA", at positions 30 to 523 of the family's 1533-position model. The record is from RNAcentral.